CUGUCGGCCGCAUCUGCCACUGGGUCUGACUCUGGCUUCACUCUUCUUUGCUUCACUCACUUCUUGCUGCUGGCAUCUCACAUACCAAUGUCAUUAGGUACUGUCUGCCCUGGUCCUCCUACAAUCCAGCCAGUGCAGUUCCCGUCACAGCAAGUGCUUCCUCUCUCGGAGCAGACAAACUAACUGAAGCCACAGCCGGAAGCAGGCUGACCACAAGUGCUAAGGUUCUGGUUAGUUCUUUUCUAGGUUCAAAAGAAGAGGCUGUUCUAAGAAAGACUACCGAGUAAUCAAUCACCUCCUCAGAGAAAGUCUGCUCAGGUCAGUCCUGCCUAGACACACCGAGAAAGAAGUGAUGGAAGAUGUUAUCCGUCUCACCAUCUACAGGACUUCAUGAAGAAGUGAGAAGGUAACUCUACACCCACCAGCCCCUGCACUUGGUUCCUUGCAUUGCCUCUGGCUGGAAGCUGUUGUCUCCAACUUCAGAAAGUGUCUGGAGAUUUCACAGGCUCUCUCUUGGGUCAAGAGAUGACAAGAAACACACAGUUUCUAUCUACAGCGAGAAGAGGUCCUGUCACCUUGUCUGUAGGCAGUUCCAGCAGGAAUUAGGAAAGCUGUCACUCCACAAGUCUCCAGGAGUCUCUGGGAUCUUCAACCAUGGGCUAAAGGAGAGCUGCAGAAUAAUCCAACAUCCCCAGCCUUCUGCAAUUAGGCAAGAGGUAUUUUUCCUGAGGACCACAUACCCUAAAAGAGCCUGUAUCAAAGACAUAAGGGACCAGCUCUGUGAACACGGCAAGUAAUAACAGACAGAAAACGUGAUGAGAAAAGAGAGACCGGGAUUUUGAAAUCCUAUUUCCUGAAUGCCAUCUCACCAGGCACACGGAAGAAUAAAAUUAAGGAAUCAAGA
This is a long non-coding RNA of Pongo pygmaeus (Bornean orangutan), 904 nucleotides long. RefSeq lists it as uncharacterized. The transcript is spliced from 7 exons. The record is from RefSeq and is a predicted model, not a curated record. NCBI's taxonomy places the organism in Eukaryota, Metazoa, Chordata, Mammalia, Primates, Hominidae.